GCUGUUUAACACGGAAGCGG
Molecule: unclassified non-coding RNA, 20 nt
Filed under: Chlamydomonas reinhardtii
Lineage: Eukaryota; Viridiplantae; Chlorophyta; Chlorophyceae; Chlamydomonadales; Chlamydomonadaceae
Description: small RNA Cre_1806
Source: RNAcentral